AAAAUGGGCAGUCAAAUACUCUCCGAAAACUCUAGGAAACUUUAUUUUGAUUUUCUUUCAACUCCUCCUUUGCCACUGACCAGUGGGUCUGGAUCAGUCCAGCACCGCAAGGGACACGCGCCCGCCUCCUGCCCGGCUGUCUCUUGAUCUUUCUCCUCCCCCCUCCGCUACCUCACUCCUCAUUCUUUUCCUCCCUCCCUGGAUCCCCUCUCUCGUCAAGCUCGCCGUUGCAACGCCAGCCGCAGGGACCAGCGGGAUCCGCCAGCCGUCGGUCCGGAUCGACGUCCACGCCUCCGGCUCCGGCAUGCACGCCUGCUAGACACCGCCGUGAACCACCUCGUUUCUCCGAACCUCUUGAACCAAGGCUGCCUUUCUCGGUUCCAUCAGCCGCCGUUGCGACGCCGCGGCGGUCAUCCUCCUCCCCGAGCAACUAUAGGGACCGUGACGGGCUCUGCGUCUGGACAACGGACUCGAAGCCGCGGGUCCCUCCUACUUCUUCCUCGACCACUGACCGCCAUUGACGUCGUCCGGAACUCCCUGCCAUCCGUCCUCUCGCCUCCCUGAUCCGUCCGACCAGGCCGCCAUGAACAACAAGGACAUUCAUGAGGGUUUGAAUUUUUCUGCUGCUGAUGAUGAAUCCUCCUUUGGAAUCUUUUAAAUAAAGUUUUCAAAAGAUGGCCGUGAACUUGUUGUUGGAAACAGCAAUGAGUCAAUAUGUAUUUAUGAUCUUGGAGGAAACAAAGUGACAGAGCGAAUUCAUGCUCAUGUGGUAUGAAAGUCAAAUGCACUCUUUCUUUUGUUGCUUCCAUAACCUGUCCUUACAAUGUACACAACACUGUUUGGUGAUAGACAUAUCUUCUUAGGUCAUAUUCGGAUGUACUUCUAAAAUCAUUUCAAGUAUCUAAUGUGAGCAUUGGUACUGUUUGCAUGCAAAGAAAAUUAAAGAAAGGAGUUUGUUUGUAAGAUUUUAGUCUGCUGCCAAUAGAAAUGCACUUACAUUAUUAGUAAAACAAAAGCACUUACAUUGCAUAUUCUACACGCUUUUGUACUACAUCCUCUAAUGGUUCGUUAUGACUGAAGUAAUCAUCCACAUAGGCAUAGCAGAUUGAAGUAAUGAACCACAGAACGCAAUAGUUCUUGGUGGUGCUUUAAGCAUAGCAGUUUGGAUAGAUACUCAUAGCAUGCUAGAAGUUGUGUCUUGUAGAUUACGAAACUGAAAUAAAAUUCGUCUUUGUAGGAGUCUCACAGUGUAGUGUAGUAUCACAGAAACACCUAAUGCCUCUAAGAGGUAUUUCCAAACCAGAAGCAAAAAGGAAAAUCUCAAACAGUUUGUGGCGUGCCAACACUAUUCAAGGUGUUUGGCUUUUGUUCUUGAAAAAAAGGUGUUUGGCUUUCUGCAUAACUGCAGAGUGAUGGUAUAUGAUGAAAGGAAACACUGUAAAUGUUAGAACCACUAAGUCUGAAGUAGAUUAGAUGACAAGUAAAUAUAUAAAUAUCAGUAAAACGAAUCACUACAUCAGCUGAAGCAGCAGCUGUGUUGGUAGUCUGUGAAGGCUGGAAGUUGUCUCAUUCGGGCCUGCAGUAUUUGGCCUACGGAUACAUGAAUAGAUGUUUAUGCAAUUUGUUAGAUAUUGUAAAAAUUCACGACUUGCAGUAUUUGUCAUCUGUAUUUAGUUUAUUCCUCUUCCUCACGCUGAACUUGGAGCCAAAGACCUCAUGUCCUGCCGUAGCUGGCCCCCUCUGCUGCAUCAAGCAUCCACCAUGGGAGAUUGAUUCCUUAAUUAAUCUGAAAAGAGUUGCUUGUGUUGAUGUACUAUUAGAACUUCAUAACAGAGGAGAUUGGAAGAUGGAGAGAAAGGGACAAGGGAGAGGCGGCCCUCAGCCACGGCCGCCCACGCCCAGCCUCGAUCCCCUCCGGAUCGGGAUCGGGAGAGCCAGCGCUCGAUCCCUGCCUCGCCUCGCCACCUCGACGUCGGCGAGCCCUGCCAGAACCAGCUUCACAGGCGCCACCCUUCCUUCCUCUCCUUCCUCUCGUUUUCCCCUUCCUCCAUCCCGUGCUCUCUCUUAUCUAUCUCUCUCUCUCUGUUCGAACAGGAGAUACCCAGCCGCCCCAGCUAGGCCCAGUCGAGCCACGUUAACCUUCAGUUGAGAUGGACGGCGGCGCAGAGGGGACGGCGAGGUCGCCGGCAAGUACAACGACGACCGAUUGGCGGAGGCUCUGGUCGAGCGGCGAGCCCUCCCGGGCGGCGCACAGCGAGGAGCUCGGGCGCGCGGAGGAGAGGAGGAUCUGAGGCUUAACGGUGGUGCAGGGUUCUGCGCUCGCCAGCGUCGGCCGGCGCGGCACCGGAUGAGCGUCGGGGUGGGCGCCUCCUUGCGGCUGGAAUCGGGAGGCGAGGGAGAGAGAGGAGAGCCCGUCCUGGUCCGCGGGUUGAGUAUAGGGAUUUAUUUGCAAAGUUGUCGAACGAAACGUUUUUUCACUUAAAAAAGGAGGUGCGGGUUGAAUACGAAAAA
Non-coding RNA from Triticum urartu, 2511 nucleotides. The record is from RefSeq and is a predicted model, not a curated record. Lineage: Eukaryota; Viridiplantae; Streptophyta; Magnoliopsida; Poales; Poaceae.